UAUUGGCUGAGAAGGAAGUGUGCGUCAGCUUGUUGUCAUUGCGUGGAGAGGGAUAAAUCAUACUGGACAGAUUGUAAACUACAUCCUUGUGGAAGGAAAAGGAGCGGACAUACACAGGUCCUUCUCACUGUCACGAUGCGGGGCAUGCAGGAGAGUCUGUGGGUCCUACCUCUGAUACUACUGGGGCUGUUACAGCACUGGGCUGAAGGCGACUCAUUCAGCCAGGUGUGUGACCCAUCUAAAGAUGGCACCAUCUAUAACUACAAUGCUAUGACCCUGAAUGGGAGUCGUUCGGUCUCCCUCCGUGAGUACAUGGGGAAGACCGUCCUCUUCGUCAACGUAGCCUCUUACUGAGGACUCACCUUCCAGUACCUGGAGUUGAAUGCACUACACAAGGAGAUGAAGGAUUAUGGGUUCACCAUUCUCGGGUUCCCCUCCAAUCAGUUUGGAAAACAGGAGCCAGGAGACAAUCAUGAGAUUCUGGCCUCUCUAAAGCAUGUCCGACCAGGAAAUGGAUUCGUUCCAAACUUCCUGCUAUUCCAGAGGGGGGAUGUGAACGGAGACACAGAACAAGGAGUCUACACUUUCCUCAAAAACUCCUGCCCGCCGGUAGGGGACAGCUUUGAGAACCCCACCAACAGGCUGUUCUGGGAGCCCCUGAAGAUCAACGACAUCAAGUGGAACUUUGAGAAGUUCCUGGUCGGACCGGACGGAAAGCCCGUGAGGAGGUGGUUUCCCCGGGUCACAGUGUCUGAGGUUCGGAUGGACAUCAUCAAAUACUUCAAUCAACUCUUAUCCCAGUCCACCCAGCAGAACAUUGACUAAGGUUUUACUGUGCUGUGACCCAAAUGGCACAGUAUUCCCUAUGUAGUGCAUUACUGGGAAUUCAUUACAUAAGGAAUAGGGUGUCAUUUGCGACGCAGCCUGUGUUGUCAUCAGGGCUGGGGUCAAAUUCCAUUUCAGUUGAGUAAAUUCCUGAAUUGAAAUGGAAUUCAUUCCAUCCCCGAUAGGCUGGAUUUGAUUUUUAUAGAUUUAUUAGAGAUCACUCCUUUAGAUACAUGAAAUCACAGUGGAACGGUUUCCAGGUUCCAUCAGUUGAUGGUGGUACUGGGUAAGGGUUGUAGGUCAUAAAGGAGGUGGCAUGUUGUAUGAAGGUGAGGCUUGAAAACAGUGAUUCUGUGGUGCCAAGCCUGAGUUCUAGGGUCCAGGCCAGUCCUUCAGUGCAUUCAGGCUGGGCCUGGUAACCCUAGGAGCCAUGCUACCUCCUCGUCCUGCCACCCAGACCAGACGCCUAGUUACCCACUGCUUCUGCCUGACUAAUGUAUGUCAAUAAAUCACAUCAAUGCAA
Oncorhynchus gorbuscha (pink salmon) is the source of this 1348-nucleotide RNA transcript. It is a transcript of the gene named glutathione peroxidase 3-like, with no coding region annotated. NCBI's taxonomy places the organism in Eukaryota, Metazoa, Chordata, Actinopteri, Salmoniformes, Salmonidae. The record is from RefSeq and is a predicted model, not a curated record. The transcript has 5 exons.